This is a long non-coding RNA of Osmia bicornis bicornis, 1623 nucleotides long. RefSeq lists it as uncharacterized. The transcript is spliced from 3 exons. The record is from RefSeq and is a predicted model, not a curated record. NCBI's taxonomy places the organism in Eukaryota, Metazoa, Arthropoda, Insecta, Hymenoptera, Megachilidae.
GGAUUAUAUUAAAGGAAAGAUUACCUAAAAGUUCUGUUAGUUUCUCAUGCAAUUCCUCCAAAGAGGAAAACAUAGGCACGUUCUUGGAGAAGCGUGAAAAAUUCUUGCCUGAAUGAAAGUCUGUCAUCGAGCGAUCCAUUUUUAGCAGAACUAGAAUUACUUGAAUGUGAAAAGAAUUUUCUUCUUUUCAACUUCAACCGUGAAAACUCAACGAACAUUAAAAUUACUUGGAUCACGUGUCCUCAAGAUCGAAACCCGUCAUACAUUCUCACCGCAUUCAGAAGCAGAAAAGUCAUUGUGUUUUAUUUUAACAAAUCUCAUCCUUGAUAAGGUCGUAACGUCCGGCCUGCAUUGAAUAUUAAUAUGCUUUUUCUCUAUUCGUAGAUCGAUCGUCGGCUAUUAUACGCUCAACGUUUUACGAGCGUAUUUCCUUUGCAGUUACAAAAAACUAAGAAAAAUUAUCAUCCGCUUUAUGAUUCGAAGCGAAAGAAUAAAAUGUACGAACGAAGAAGCAAAGAGAGGACAUUUUCGGGCGUUGUUUCGAACCGUCACUCGAAAGCAUAGAAUUUAAAUUCUAAUCACGGCGUACUCGCCACAGGAAGAGACAAGCUUUCUACAUGUUUCAAAGCCGUGGCUGGUUUUACGAGAAAUUUUAUAAAAUAUAUAUGCUGGAAUUAAAAGGACCUUGAUAACGCGGAUCGUACGUCUUUCAAUUUUUAGUUACUAUUAACUUAAAAAUGCGAUAACGCUUAUCUGUUCCAUCAACAAGUCAGGUAUUAAAAACGCGUCACGUUAUUUCGUUUGUUUGAACAAUCAAUUCCGACGGGAACAGAUUAAACAAAUAAACGAAGACGAGUGUUGUUUUAUACGGUGCCUAGCACGUUCGCGAAUAAAACGACCUAUGAGACUGUCUCGAAGUGGUACGAAAGUGCAUCAGCUCUCGUAACGACACACGAAACACUGGUUGUCGAACGUGUUAGAUGGAGGAUGUUAAUGAGUUUGCACUAACAAGCGUGUAGAGCCGGUGCAACGUUUACCUCGACUCGACAUGUUUGCCGAGAGUUGACUGUGUUUUUCGAAAAGUACAAACAGAAAAACAACGUCGAAGAAGUUACGUGCUCCUCGAGACAAAAGAUUCGAUGCGAGGGAUUCGACAUGCCCCUGUACAAUGGCAACCCGCAUUGCUUGCGCGUACGGCAGGUGGCUAGUUCCAGGCGCAGAGUUAUAAUUGAUUAUUUUUCAAAAAUAUUGAAAUUCGGUAUUGAUCAUGGAACCAAGCUUGGUGAGGCUAGACUGCCUCAUGAUGUUGGAGGGGCUCUUCAUCCGUUUGGACGGUGGUACCGGAAGCGGGGCGGUCUUGGACCUUGCCAGAAUGCCACCGUUUCGGCAGUUUCCGUUCGGAUUGGAGCCGGGGGGCCGCUGGGGCGGAGCCCCCCAUAGACCCACCACCCCUGCGUGACGCGUGGUGCUACUUCACCAAUUUCAACCCUUAUCCACCUGUUAGUCUCCCAGUUAUUUUUAACUUCAACCUCCACCUUGCUUCGUCACCACUGGAACAAUAAAAUCAUCAACAACCCCGUUAUUUACCUCUAGUUUUUCGCAAUAAAAAAUUUAAUUAUCUCA